CCGGGUCAUACAGGAGAGAGCGGUCCUUGCGAUCGCCGCCGAAGGCGCAAGUGCACCCGCAAUCGCUCAGGCAAAAGGACUGUAUCAUCGGG
RNAcentral lists this non-coding RNA (92 nucleotides) under Chromobacterium sp. RNAcentral's name for it is "Glycine sequence". It matches the Rfam family "Glycine riboswitch aptamer". From Rfam's summary of the family: This family represents the bacterial glycine riboswitch. Glycine riboswitches usually consist of two metabolite-binding aptamers domains with similar structures in tandem. The record is from RNAcentral. Lineage: Bacteria; Pseudomonadati; Pseudomonadota; Betaproteobacteria; Neisseriales; Chromobacteriaceae.